UGCCGGAUCGUCUAAUGGUAGGACAACGGUCUUUGACGCCGUCUGUAGAGGUUCGAAUCCUCUUCCGGCAACAA
This 74-nucleotide transfer RNA is filed under the name Ignavibacteriota bacterium. RNAcentral's name for it is "Ignavibacteriae bacterium tRNA-Gln". It matches the Rfam family "tRNA". Rfam says of the family: Transfer RNA (tRNA) molecules are approximately 80 nucleotides in length. Lineage: Bacteria; Pseudomonadati; Ignavibacteriota. The record is from RNAcentral.